CUGGCUGCGAGUGGGAGCGCGGGGUGCCGCUCUCCAGCAGGAGGGAGGGUCCCCGCCGGGAUCCCCACCUGCGUCCCGCGAACCGAGCAGUUCGUGGCUCAGCGAAGUGAUUUCUGCUCCGUUGGCGAGUUUGGCUGCUGUGGUUGCGACCAACCCGAGCGGACAGAGAGAUGCCUGGGAAUUCGAAACCAGCCAGCUGGGUGCUGACAAGGUAGGAAACGUGAAUAAUCCCCACGCUUCACUGGAGUGGCAGCAGUGUCUGUUUAGAUGAAAGGAGCUCAGAUGAUGAGCCUGAGCAGUGCCGGAUGAGAUCGACCUCCUGCCCUGUGACGUGACAGCAGCUUCAUUUCUGCUAUUUUCUUGUGUUUCUGGAGGUCAAGCUUCAGACCCAGAUAUCAGGAGCAAACACCCAAUGCGCUAGGCCUGACACAGCCCAAGGCAGCCCUUCCUCUGGCAGCAGACACGCAACCCUGCUGUGCACCAUGGAGAAGGGCUGGCCUGCACUCUGCUUGUUUCUUAACUCCCACAUUUCACUUAUUUAAAAACAGCAUUAGUUCAGGAGGGAUAAGGGAUGUCACACUCUCGCUACUUGCAGUGCUCACCCUCAGUGCACAGCCUUUGAAUUCCUCCUGUCCUGCUGCUCUAGACAUGAACUCCAUGCACGCCACUUAGUCAGGGACCAGCUCCUCUCCAGUUCAGUGUCUACAGAAACCUGCUCCCAACCUGCUACUGCCAGGUCAUUCUCGUUCUUCUUCCAUAACCUGGUGUUCCCCAGUCUCCAGCCCCAUUCAACUCCCUUCUUCUCCCUCCUUCUAUUACCACUAUACUGUUGCCCCAACAAUAGGAAUCUCAUAAUCUUCUCCUCCAAAGCAGUGUAGUACUCUCUCUGUACCACAGCACAAACUCACAGAAUGGCUGAGGCAGGCAGGGCUUUCUGGGUCCCCCUGGCCCAGCCCCGCCACAGCAAGGCCACCCUGAGGAGGGUGCCAGGCCCAAAUCCAGGCAGCUGCUGAAGAUCCCCAAGGAGGAGACCCCACAGCCUCUGGGCAGCCUGUGCCAGUGCUCCGUCACCUGCACAGCACAGUAGUGCUGCCCAGUGUUCAGAGGGAACGUCCUGCGUUCCAAGUUGUGCCCAUGGCCUCCUGUCCUGGCACUGGGAAUGACUGAAAAGAGCCUGCCUCCAACCUCUUUGCAUCGUACCUUCAAAUAUGAGCAACAGAGCCCCCCAGGAGACUGAUGCUAGGCUGAGGAAAUGGGUAAGACAUGUGGGAAGCUCUGCCCUCCACUCCCUUUUCUAUCCUUCCCUUCCAUUUUUCCAUUUUCUCCCCUUCAGUAGUCUCAGGCAAUUUUCUUGGGAAAGCCCCACAGAAGAAGGGAAGAAAGAGUUCCUGGCAUGAAAAGCCAGGAAACAAUAAAGGCAAAGAGAGCUUCUGACACAAAGCAGGCAAAUUACAGGUGGGGAAAGGUGCAAAUCCACCUUCCCAUAGGGUACCAGUCUGAGGAGAGCAGCCAUAAGAAAAAUGGGCCCGUGCAGGCUAUUUGGCCAUGACUAGGGCUUUAUAGAGGAGGGGAGUGGGGAGUCACAGGGUCUCUGCCAGGAAGGGAUGAAUAGGCAACCCUGGAAGAGCCGGGACAAGGAUUAUUGACCAACCCUGGGAACUGUUGCCCAAAACAUUCUCGUGAUUCCCUAAUUGAUUGGCCAUGGCAUUCAAAAUAGCACAUUACAGAAAAGCAAGACACAGAAAUGCUAUCAAACUCCGCAAAGGGCCAUCUCAAGCGCAGCCAACAGUGAAUUAACUGGGUACAGCACUUUGAAAAAUGGGAAGUACUGUAAAAGUAGUAGCAUUAUUACAGAAGUAUUAGGAAGAUAUUUCUCAGCAGACGCAGGUUUGGCACUAUCUGUCUAGACGAGUAGAUGGUUUUGGAGUCAAACUGAUUUUUUUAUUACCGUAUCCACUUCAAUUUAUUAAAAGCAAACUGUUCUGUCCAUGACUCAUGCAGCUUCGCUUUCUGCAUGGCAAUGAAACCAAAUUCUCAUAAUUAAGAGCGAUCACUGUGAUACAGCAUCUGAAGGUUAGGUUUAGAAAUCAGACCAAACCUUCUAUUUCUGUCUUCUCUCACUGCAAAUGUUAUGCUCGCAUACUUCUAAUUGGCCACUAUUACCAUUUACUUCAAAUACAGAAGAUGUAAACUUUCAGGUGAGUUAUGAUUCUUCCUUUAGUGCAACUCCAGUGACAGAGGCCAAUUUUUUUCACAACAUGGGUUGGUUGAUCUCAGUGUAGAGAUUUAGAGAUUGCUUUAUUCCUGAUCUAAGUCUUGUUCUCCCAGCCAGUGCCAAACCCACCCCAUUUUAAGAGUUCUGGGGCCUGUAAAUUUUGCCCCAGUGCUUCAGCAACUGAAAUCCUGCAAAGAUUUGCUGCAAUUAAUUCAGCACUGCCCUCUGACACUUUCAUAUCUGUGGCUACUUUCUGACUGAGAGAAUUAGCUGGGCUAUUAAGAGAUUAAUUCCUAUUGCACACCUUCAGUCCUCUUCAUUAACCAAAGGUAACCAAAGUCUUAUGAAUUUAAGGUGUUUUGGGAGUACUCGAGGCUGUACUCAAAACAGAAAUGUUUUUAGAGUAAUAAAUUCCAGUUAUCUCCACAAGGCUUUCAAUUUCAGUUUACUUUUGCUAUGCACAAUCAUUAAUACUGUACUCUAAUUCCAUAUACUUUGAGUCUAGGAAAUUAAAAAUACAGAAGAUAUGUAAUAUGCAGUGAACACUAAUUAGUUUAAGUAGGAUUCCUAAACAGUUUAACAAUGAAUGAGGCAAGGGAAACUCUUAUUUUCCAUUGGCCACCCUGUGACUGAGAGCUUCCUAGAUGGUGACCACCUCAACUAAGGUCAACACAAGCCAUUCUCAUUUCCUGAGGUCAUUUCUGUUGAGUCCAUCCACUUCAGCCCAUGAAGUGCCAACUUUUUGUUCUCAUUCUCACAGUGCAUGCUGUUUCUCUCUGUGGUGCAUUAAACAGGAAAGCAGAUACCUUCCUUCCCCCAUUCCCAUGCCACUAAAAUCUGUCUUGCGUUUCAGUUACAAAACUAUCUGUAGCCUCACGCAUACUCUACUAUUCAUGAAGCAUCUAAUUCAAGAGGAAUUUACCUUGAGCAUAAAGUCUUACUGACUCAAAGGGGACUUAAUGCACAUAUUUAUUAAGCACCAUCAGAAAUAGAAAUGACAUUCUAAAUCGUAACAAAUCUCUUUUUAAGACACCUCUUCCUCAAGACACUUUAAUGAAAUCACUCUCAGCGGCCAGGUUAAUAGGCACGGCCUUACACUGCUUUUGUACCAUUUAUCUUUUGAGCGGCAAGAUUUACCAGGUUGGGAAGGCACUUUAAUGAGUGUUUGUACAGCACCCAACAGAGUUCACCUCUUAUCUUGAUGAAGGUUAAUAGCAAUUAAGAAAAAAGUUCUUGUAUUUAAAGUACAAUGAAUAGUAUUACAAGAAGCUUAGUUAAAAAAGCAUAUUUAAGAAGUUCACGUCAAGAGUGAGCACAUCUAGCCUGUGUCUAUAGCCCUUUCUCCCUGUGUCCCAUCCCUGUCCUGCAGCCUGCCAUGGUUUCACAGCCAGUUUAAAGAUCUGUGUCACCAAGAAAAGCUCCCAUUUUCCCCUCAGUUUGAGUGUUUCUUUGUACUUUUGUCCUGUCUCCUUCAUCCAGUCACUGAAGCAUUUACUGAGUCCAUGGAAGGAAGCAAGCAAAUCUAUCCAAGCUAAAACUACAAAAGAGAGGACAGACCAUAAAUCUGAUCAGUUUCUCGCUAUGAUCACUAUGAUUCCCCCUGAGAUCUCAUCAAUAUUUUUGCACUGACAGAAACAGAGGGAGUGAUCUGAGAAGUGGAGGUGACGGCAGAGUCACACUGCCUCUUUUGGCAGCCACCCCAGCCUGUGUUGGCAUUAGGCCGUGGUGUUGGGCUCCAGUCUUUAUUUAUGUGAGCUCCUCCACAUCAUGUCUGUAGCUUCUUAUGCUCUUCGAAAAUGCAUUAGCUUUUAAAAACAUACUCAAAUUCAGUUCACUUUUGAGAUCUUACAUUCAGAUUCACCUUGGUUGAUAGGACAGUGAGCAGUGGUGUGGGUUCAAACAGUACAACUGAGCUGAAGUUACUGAGAAAUGAAGAAACCCAUUACUUCCUUCUAUGUGGACACAUUUCUCCCCACUGCAUCUCACCGUCACUGUUAGUACUCAAGGUGAGAAAUAUAGGAGCUGUAAUCCAGGCUAUUUGUGUCUUCCACUUCAUAAGAUCUACUGUCAUACCAUAAAGGAAGGGUGCCCUCUCAAAGUGGUGAGGCACUGGCAAAGGCUGCCCAGGGAGGUAGUGGAGUUACCAUCCCUGGAGGGGUUCAAGAAACAUGAAGUGCCACUGAGGGACACAGUUAGUGGGCAUGGUGGGGAUGGGCUGAUGAGAGAACUAGGUGAUCUUAGAGGUCUUUUCCAACCUUAAUGAUUCCGUGAUUGUAUGUCACAUAACUGAUUGUAUGCUCUGAUAGAAAAGAAGCACAUUCCACUUGUUUUUUUCUAACACAGCUAAUGACCAGCUCAACAGAGACCUCCAGAACAUAGGGGAUCUGUUUUUGUGUCUCUCAUUGAAAAGCAAGCCCCUCAAAAGCACAAAAACGUCACAGUUACAUUAAGAGAAGAAAAUUCGUAAUCUUUAACAAACUAAACAAAUUAUUCUCUCACAAAUGACAAUGAUAUACAUUUGUGUCCUAGGCACCAAAACAUACUCAGGAAAGGCAUCUCAGCCUCUCACCCUUUUCAAAAGCCUUUUAUGCUUCACAGAUAAUGACUAUCAUGGACAGCACCUCCCACUGCAAAUGUUUAAUUUACCACAGCUGCUUCGAAUCAGCACUCUGGGAGCAGGUUUGCUCAGUUGCCCCCAACAGCCUGUAUGCAAACAUCUGUCUGUCUGUUCCAGCACACAGCACAGAGUUGCCCAGUGAACAACCUGAAUGCCUUGAGCAUCACACGGACUCACCAAUUCAGAAAAGUUAACCAAGGCAUCACAUCGUGUGGCGUGUCUGAAGUUUGUAGAGAAUUCAUCUGCCAGAGAACUCAGUGAGCUCAGCAGGCAAUUAACACGUCUGGGAAACCUGCCUAGAAGAACAGUUAUCACACAGUACAUACAAAUGCCAACCGAGCAGUUAUUGUAAGAAUAUGUAGCAUGUUUGAUCUUGAAAGUUUUCUUGUCUUUUAGGUCCUCAGCAGCCUCUGUACCAUGAGCCAGUCUCACAUAUUUGUGCCAGGCAGCCUUCUUCUCUCGCACAUCCUCACUACAAAGCUGUUACGAAAUCUUUGUUUUGUUGACUGCUCUUAACCACUUCUUGUUAGAUUUUUUCAUAUCUGAAACUUGCAAAAGACUUUCACUGAUUAAAGGUGGUACAGAAAAAGAUAGGGGGUUGAUGGCUGGCUUAAAAUCAAAACCAGAACAAUGGCUGGCCUUGUAGAGAAGUUAGCAUGCAAAGUGGUUGGGCAAGAGCAUCCGGUGUCAUACUCAGUUCUACCAGUUUGCGCUGUAGCAAUUGCUUACCGUGUGCAAAACUUACUAACUAAAGGAUACGGAAUAUUUCAGGUACAAUCUGUUUAGCACACAGGAAGUAGUGAUAGCUGUGCUUAUGAAAUCACAAAAGUUUUAGAGUUUUACACAUAGGCAAUGAGUGCGUGCUGUGUGUACAGAGGUGAUGCAUUCAGAGUGGAAUGUGAGAGGAAAAGCCAGCUGCAAACAACUGUGCCAUGGGCAUUUACCUUGGGUAAGCCUGAUGAGCACCUCCAGGUGACAUCUUAUAGGCCACCAAGCUGGAAGACACGUGCAGUCUCCACAACUCAUCGUGGAGUUGUGCUCAUCUCCACAACUGCAACAAAAGAGCUGGAGACAUGAAGGACACAGCCAGUAUCUCAGGUACCUGAGAAAACCCAUGGCUAAACAUGACUACUGGAGGACAGGCACCAGUCCCAGUACAUGGUGAGCUUGGCACAUCAUGAAGGCCCAGUAACACAUCUGACCUGAGAAACACAAGUUCUGUGGAACAGAUAAGCUGUAAACACCGACAAAUAGAUAAGGCUAAAACGAGCCUGAAAUUCUCAUCAUUUGCUCAGCAUUGCAAUACAGCAGCAAUACCAUCUUCAACAGGAUUGUAUACUCUUUCUGUUAGUUUUCCAAUGUUCCUGUACUAUUUUCUACACUGUUUCUAUAGAACUCUCUACAUACAUGUAUUUUAUGAAAUAAAAGGGACCAGGUCCUCUUAAGAGUUUCAAUUUCCCCUUCUUCCUCCCAGCUAGACCUUUACAUCUCCUCUUUUUGCAUAGGCUUCAUGGCUCCAAAGAACAGCAAAGCAAUUUGUGGAGCGGAAGCAGAACAUUACAACAGUCUGCUACUAGAAGAAGAAAAUUAAACAUGGAAAGGGGAGGUGGGAUGAAUCAUGCUGAGUCGUAUGACAUUUCUUAAAAAAAAAUCCCAAAACUUUAAGAUUUAUUUUUAGUGAGUAACAGCAAUCUAGCAUUGUAUAACUCAAACUCCCCCAUGAAGAACCAGUACAAAUUAUGCGGAUCUACUCUUAUCCAGGUUAUUGCAUCUCUAUAGACCAUAAUUUCUUUUUUUUUUUUGGUACUUUUCUGUAAUUUUCAUUGUACUGUGGUAACUUUUACUUUCUAACAUAAAAUAAACUUGAACUAAUUGUAUGUGUGAU
This is a long non-coding RNA of Numida meleagris (helmeted guineafowl), 6717 nucleotides long. RefSeq lists it as uncharacterized. The record is from RefSeq and is a predicted model, not a curated record. The transcript has 3 exons. NCBI's taxonomy places the organism in Eukaryota, Metazoa, Chordata, Aves, Galliformes, Numididae.